RNAcentral lists this small RNA (77 nucleotides) under Xanthomonas bromi. RNAcentral describes it as "sX9 sRNA". It matches the Rfam family "Xanthomonas sRNA sX9". Lineage: Bacteria; Pseudomonadati; Pseudomonadota; Gammaproteobacteria; Lysobacterales; Lysobacteraceae. The record is from RNAcentral.
AUGCAGCAUUCGUAGACUCCGGUUCUGCGUGCGCCAUCCACACCUGCCUGACGACUGCUCGCUGCGUUUUGUCAGCC